GUGAGGGGCUGGGCGACUGUAGAGAAGGCGAAUGGGGAAUGCACGCCCCAAGAGCGAAGGCAAACAGCUGUGGAGGCGCUGCCCGAGGCUCAGGCUUCCCAACAGGUUAGCUAGACGAGAAUCCACUAGGCAUUUCGCAGGAAAGGGGGGGUGGGGAAGAGACUGAGCGAGACGAGGAGAGAGCCUCACAGGAAAACAGAGGGAGGGAGGGAAAGAG
Non-coding RNA from Pteropus vampyrus (large flying fox), 217 nucleotides. The record is from Rfam. NCBI's taxonomy places the organism in Eukaryota, Metazoa, Chordata, Mammalia, Chiroptera, Pteropodidae.